GGGGUGGUAGCUCAGUUGGUAGAGCACCGGACUUUUAAUCCGUUGGUCCCGGGUUCGAGCCCCGGCCACCCCACCA
Molecule: transfer RNA, 76 nt
Filed under: Mesopusillimonas faecipullorum
Lineage: Bacteria; Pseudomonadati; Pseudomonadota; Betaproteobacteria; Burkholderiales; Alcaligenaceae
Description: tRNA-Lys
Rfam family: tRNA
About the family: Transfer RNA (tRNA) molecules are approximately 80 nucleotides in length. Their secondary structure includes four short double-helical elements and three loops (D, anti-codon, and T loops).
Source: RNAcentral